RNAcentral lists this ribosomal RNA (492 nucleotides) under Triticum aestivum (bread wheat). Its description in RNAcentral is "partial small subunit ribosomal RNA". The record is from RNAcentral. Lineage: Eukaryota; Viridiplantae; Streptophyta; Magnoliopsida; Poales; Poaceae.
AUGCUGAAGUAUGAAGUAGAUAUGGAAGACAAAGAAAUGCAACAAGCAGAAUGUUGCAUACUAGAAGAGUUUCCGCCAACUCCAGGGCCAAAAGAACAUAUUAUGCAUUUGACAACCACACAAGAGCAUGAAGUUAUUGAUAUAUCCAGUAAACGCAAAGAUAUUAUGGAUGUCAGCAGCCACGCCGUUGCCCAACAAUCUUGCACAGACCACGAACAAAAUGAUCCAUCAAUAGAACCAGAUCAACCACCACCAGACGACAAGAUACCACACCAUGCCGAAGAGGAAACAGACGAGCAAAAUAUCAACAGCAAUAUCACGACCACAGAGCAACUGGAACAAACAGGCACUGAUUUAAAAGAGGAUGACAGAAGCAACGACGUACCAAAUACACAACAACAGGAAGAAGUUGACGAAUUUUUUUCAAGCCUUAACCCGCUACAACUAGAGGUGUACAGCGACCAUAUAAAGAUGGGCUCAACUUCGAUUUAA